This 427-nucleotide ribosomal RNA is filed under the name uncultured prokaryote. RNAcentral's name for it is "bacterial SSU rRNA". It matches the Rfam family "Bacterial small subunit ribosomal RNA", at positions 355 to 774 of the family's 1533-position model. The record is from RNAcentral.
UGGGGAAUAUUGCACAAUGGGGGAAACCCUGAUGCAGCCAUGCCGCGUGUGUGAAGAAGGCCUUCGGGUUGUAAAGCACUUUCAGUGGGGAGGAAGGGCUGAUGACUAAUAUUCAUCAGCAUUGACGUUACCCACAGAAGAAGCACCGGCUAACUCCGUGCCAGCAGCCGCGGUAAUACGGAGGGUGCAAGCGUUAAUCGGAAUAACUGGGCGUAAAGCGCACGCAGGCGGUCAGAUAAGUCAGAUGUGAAAGCCCCGGGCUCAACCUGGGAACUGCAUUUGAAACUGUCUGACUAGAGUCUUGUAGAGGGGGGUAGAAUUCCAGGUGUAGCGGUGAAAUGCGUAGAGAUCUGGAGGAAUACCGGUGGCGAAGGCGGCCCCCUGGACAAAGACUGACGCUCAGGUGCGAAAGCGUGGGGAGCAAACA